UCAACCAAGACUCCCUAGCAAUUACUCUCUCAAAACCACCUAAUGUGAAUGGAUCUUCUGAAGGUGUCUCCCCUUGGAAGUCGAAUGGAAGUGUGGGAAGAAUGGAGGGUGCAGGGCCCUGGUGGGAAGGGAACGUGUGGAGGAGGCAGAGUCCUGGAGGGAAGGGCAGCCAGGGAGGGUGGGGAGCCCUGGAGGGAAGGGCAGCCAGGGAGGGUGGGGAGCUCUGAGCACAAAAUAAGAGGAGAUCUCCUCUUUGCCACUCAGGACCAUUUCUUCAAGAAUUCUCUUCUCCUUUAAGGAGCUCUAAAAUACAUUCUUUUCCUAAUGCAAAUACAUUUCUUGUCCAAAUGAAGGACAAAAGGUGGAAAGAAACCCAGUACUUUGCCUGCUGUAGUAGAAGCUGCAAGCGGUAGGGAAAAUAAACUGGUAGGGAAAAAAAGAGCAGAACAGGGCAAAAUCCAACCGGAUUUGCUAUCACGUGUGCUGGGCGAUUGGAAGAUUCCUCCCUCCAGUUUAUGGAUCCAGCUUUUAUUCCAAGGGUGGGAUCCUGCAAGCCAUUAAACCCGCUUUAGCAAACCACCGUUGCUGCCUUCCCAUUCACGUCAAGCUCUGCUCAGACAAUGGUUGGUCUUUCCAACCCGCAGGGCCCCAAAUUCCCCGCUCCCUCCAUCCCAGAUUAACCUGUCGUGAGAAUCCAGCCUCAACAUUUGUUUUCCAAGCACCCUCUGCCUUCCUUCUCCCCCUUCUGCCUUUCCUGUUAGUGGGUCGUUGGCCUGGGUUCAUUAAUCCUCGAGAUUGACUUUGAACCGAAGGGCAAAUAUUAAGCCAUUCAACUUUCUCUGCUCAGCCAUAAAUCACACCCUGCCUUGGCUUGGAAAACAGAGGCCAAAGGUUGCCCCUAUCUCCGAGCGAAGGAUCUUUGACACAGGACUUCGGACAUCCUUGCAACAUCAUUCGACUUUAUCUCAACUGGCUUUGAAGCAGACUUGUAAAAGGAGGCUGAGAUUACGAUACUCAGAUUAGGCUGCUAAGUACACGCUGUUCCGCUCAUCGCGCUGCACCAAGAACAAGGCGUCGCUUAUCAAGUGAAGAAGAGCAAACCAUACCCCGAUGAGCAGUGGCAUUUCGCUUUAAUCUUAUCUCUCUCCUUUUCCGGAGAAUAAACAGAGAGCGCUGACCCCCAUUUGGCAGCAGACUUCAGGAAAAGGCGUCUGAUGCUACUCUGACAGGUCUUCGCACCACCUUGCCAGGAAGCGAAGCUGUCGUGGUGGUUUUUAUCGAUCGCGUUCUCAUAGCUUCAGAAGCUUGGGGAGAGAAAAAAAAUAAAUGCGUUCUUAAGCGUGCCAGCGGCUGAAUCCAUCUUAGCAGCUUGGCAACUUUAAGAUGUGUGGACUCCAGUUCCCAGAAUUCCCCAACCAGCGUGCUUUAAGAUGUGCAGACGUCAACUCCGUUCCACCCAUCUUCUGACCCUCUGAGUCCCAGAAUUAGCUUCCUGUCUACUCUGGGAGCAGAGCAGAGACUGGUCCUGGAACGGGAAGUCCACCGGGCUAGAAGUCCUACAACCCAAAUUCCCCACCCGCUUGGAAACAUCCAGGAAUGCAGAGGAGGCCUCAAUCAUCUUGACCCACAUGAGAUUUGUCUUCCAGCCCUCCAACUUGCAAGAAAUCGAACCAGAAGCAGUACCCUCCUCUUUCUCCUAUUUGUGCGCCCAAGAGGGACCCCCUGCGCAUUUGCUGUGGGCCACCGUAAGUUGGCGAUGGGGCCAAGCACGAGGGGCUUCUUGUAGUUUCGAUUUGGGGCGAGUCUUAGCGAGGGCUCCUUUCUCUGUUUUACCUCCAUUUACAUGAACAUCUAGCAUGACAGCCUCCCUCUGUUUCCUGUCUCCAGAUGGGGGGAAAUGGUGCCCUUCAUUUUCAGCAACAGUCAGAGGUGCCCAGGCUGCACGUUGCCGACCCCCUCCCAUGGGGUGGCCCAUUGCUUCUCAUUUCAGCCUAGAUACAAUAUUCUCCUGGUGGACUAAAAUCCUAUUUCCCUCCUCUAACCCAAACUGGAAAUCUGGGAGUGUUGAAACUCCCAUUUAUUGUGCCAAAUCUUAACAUGCGGAAGGACUCUGUUUGGGUUCCCAGGGGCCCGAGAGCCUCUGGAUCUCGGAUCCUGUUUGCAGGGGCAACAGAAGCAAACCGGCCAGCAACAGAAACCACGGCUGGCAUUUGCCGAUGGCGCAGCAACACAAGGCCCCUCUCUCCAGCCCUCCUGCCACAAUUUCUCCUUCCAAAGCUCUUCUCGUGCACCCACGGUGAGCUGUGCCAGAUCAGAAGCCGGGGAAGAAAAACAUGAAGCAGGCAGCCGAUAAAGGCUUCAUCCGGGCCGGCAAGUCACACCUUCCCUCUUCUUGGGCGUCCCAAUUCAGCCGGAAGAGAGCCAAAGCAAUCCGGGCAAGGGACUUAGAGACUGCAGCCAGACGAUUUUAUUCAGCAGCUGUAACCAUUCUGCCUCCUCAGUCAGUGGGAGUCUUUCCUGGGGAAGGAGAUAAAACGAAGCACGCCCCUGCCACUUCGUUCCAAAUCAAGAAACACACGCAACCACGUUGCCCGAGCAGAAAUUGGUUUGAGAACUGCUCCUUUGGUUCAUUUCGAUUUGAGGAAGAGGCAAGUGUGCCAAACUCCACCGAGGAACCGGGGAGGUUGCAACUCCAGGAAAGGUCUCCCCCCACCAUAAGCCACCGUCACAGAUUUAAGCCGUGGUUGCUCCAACGUGCAAGGGUUCUGAAGUGCCAAAGUUAGGAUAAGCCAUCGUGCAACACCGCUGGAGGGGCAGGAAUCUAUCCGCAGUUUUUUCAGCAUAGGGUCAAGAAAAGGGAGGUGCCCUGCAACUCAGGUUGGCAAUUUCAUGCCCGUGGGCAUCCGAGCCGCCAAAGCACCAGCAGAGGGCAUCCGAGACCUGACCCCUCCCAAAUUGGAAAAAUUAAAGUAAAAAUAAAAUGGCCCAACCAUCAGGAGAUA
Molecule: non-coding RNA, 3002 nt
Organism: Python bivittatus (Burmese python)
Lineage: Eukaryota; Metazoa; Chordata; Lepidosauria; Squamata; Pythonidae
Source: RefSeq, a predicted model, not a curated record